GAUGAACGCUGGCGGCGUGCCUAAUACAUGCCAGUCGAGCGAACAGACGAGGAGCUUGCUCCUCUGACGUUAGCGGCGGACGGGUGUGUAACACGUGGAUAACCUACCUAUAAGACUGGGAUAACUUCGGGAAACCGGAGCUAAUACCGGAUAAUAUAUUGAACCGCAUGGUUCAAUAGUGAAAGACGGUUUUGCUGUCACUUAUAGAUGGAUCCGCGCCGCAUUAGCUAGUUGGUAAGGUAACGGCUUACCAAGGCAACGAUGCGUAGCCGACCUGAGAGGGUGAUCGGCCACACUGGAACUGAGACACGGUCCAGACUCCUACGGGAGGCAGCAGUAGGGAAUCUUCCGCAAUGGGCGAAAGCCUGACGGAGCAACGCCGCGUGAGUGAUGAAGGUCUUCGGAUCGUAAAACUCUGUUAUUAGGGAAGAACAAAUGUGUAAGUAACUAUGCACGUCUUGACGGUACCUAAUCAGAAAGCCACGGCUAACUACGUG
RNAcentral lists this ribosomal RNA (497 nucleotides) under uncultured bacterium. Its description in RNAcentral is "partial 16S ribosomal RNA". It matches the Rfam family "Bacterial small subunit ribosomal RNA", at positions 28 to 507 of the family's 1533-position model. The record is from RNAcentral.